This 497-nucleotide ribosomal RNA is filed under the name uncultured bacterium. RNAcentral describes it as "partial 16S ribosomal RNA". It matches the Rfam family "Bacterial small subunit ribosomal RNA", at positions 28 to 507 of the family's 1533-position model. The record is from RNAcentral.
GAUGAACGCUGGCGGCGUGCCUAAUACAUGCAAGUCGAGCGAACGGACGAGAAGCUUGCUUCUCUGAUGUUAGCGGCGGACGGGUGAGUAACACGUGGAUAACCUACCUAUAAGACUGGGAUAACUUCGGGGAACCGGAGCUAAUACCGGAUAAUAUUUUGAACCGCAUGGUUCAAAAGUGAAAGACGGUCUUGCUGUCACUUAUAGAUGGAUCCGCGCUGCAUUAGCUAGUUGGUAAGGUAACGGCUUACCAAGGCAACGAUGCAUAGCCGACCUGAGAGGGUGAUCGGCCACACUGGAACUGAGACACGGUCCAGACUCCUACGGGAGGCAGCAGUAGGGAAUCUUCCGCAAUGGGCGAAAGCCUGACGGAGCAACGCCGCGUGAGUGAUGAAGGUCUUCGGAUCGUAAAACUCUGUCAUUAGGGAAGAACAUAUGUGUAAGUAACUGUGCACAUCUUGACGGUACCUAAUCAGAAAGCCACGGCUAACUACGUG